AUACGUAGGGGGCUAGCGUUGUCCGGAAUCAUUGGGCGUAAAGCGCGUGUAGGCGGCCCGGUAAGUCCGCUGUGAAAGUCCAGGGCUCAACCCUGGGAUGCCGGUGGAUACUGUCGGGCUCGAGUCCGGAAGAGGCGAGUGGAAUUCCUGGUGUAGCGGUGAAAUGCGCAGAUAUCAGGAGGAACACCGAUUGCGAAGGCAGCUCGCUGGGACGUUACUGACGCUGAGACGCGAAAGCGUGGGGAGCAAACAG
RNAcentral lists this ribosomal RNA (253 nucleotides) under uncultured prokaryote. RNAcentral's name for it is "partial 16S ribosomal RNA". It matches the Rfam family "Bacterial small subunit ribosomal RNA", at positions 523 to 775 of the family's 1533-position model. The record is from RNAcentral.